This 232-nucleotide unclassified non-coding RNA is filed under the name Hevea brasiliensis (rubber tree). Lineage: Eukaryota; Viridiplantae; Streptophyta; Magnoliopsida; Malpighiales; Euphorbiaceae. The record is from RNAcentral.
AAAAGCUCAACAAUUUUCAAUUAUGCAUUUAGUCUAUUCUCUAUAAGGCCAUACACUUUUUUCUGUAAUAAUAUCAAACCAUGCACUCAAUUCAAGCAAGAAUCAUGCAUUUUUUUUUCCAAAUAAACAACCCAUAAUUGAUUGACUAAAAUUUUAGAUAAACAAUUCGAGUAAAUAAAAUGCAUUUAUAUCAGGGGUAGUAAUUUAUUUAUUUUUUUUACAUUUUUAUAAA